AGAGUUUGAUCCUGGCUCAGGACGAACGCUGGCGGCAUGCCUAACACAUGCAAGUCGAACGGAGUUUAAUUGACAGAAGCCUUCGGGCAGAAGACGAUUAAACUUAGUGGCGGACGGGUGAGUAACGCGUGGAUAACCUGCCUUAUAGAGGGGGACAACAGUUGGAAACGACUGCUAAUACCGCAUAAGGUCUCGAGACCGCAUGAUCUUGAGAAGAAAGAUGGCCUCUGAAAAUGCUAUCGCUAUAAGAUGGAUCCGCGUCUGAUUAGCUAGUUGGUGAGGUAACGGCUCACCAAGGCAACGAUCAGUAGCCGGCCUGAGAGGGUGAACGGCCACAUUGGGACUGAGACACGGCCCAAACUCCUACGGGAGGCAGCAGUGGGGAAUCUUCCGCAAUGGGCGAAAGCCUGACGGAGCAAUGCCGCGUGAAUGAAGAAGGCCUUCGGGUCGUAAAAUUCUGUCCUUAUUGAAGAGAGGUUCAUGUGUAAACAAUGCAUGAAUAGGACGGUAGAUAAGGAGGAAGCCCCGGCUAACUACGUGCCAGCAGCCGCGGUAAUACGUAGGGGGCGAGCGUUGUCCGGAAUCACUGGGCGUAAAGGGCGCGUAGGCGGCCUAGUAAGUCAGAUGUGAAAAGUGAGGGCUCAACCCUUAGAGUGCAUCUGAUACUGCUAGGCUUGAGUACAGAAGAGGAAAGCGGAAUCCUAGUGUAGCGGUGAAAUGCGUAGAUAUUAGGAGGAACACCAGUGGCGAAGGCGGCUUUCUGGGCUGAAACUGACGCUGAGGCGCGAAAGCGUGGGGAGCAAACAGGAUUAGAUACCCUGGUAGUCCACGCCGUAAACGAUGGGUACUAGGUGUCGGGGGUAUCGAUACCCUCGGUGCCGGAGUAAACACAAUAAGUACCCCGCCUGGGGAGUACGAUCGCAAGAUUGAAACUCAAAGGAAUUGACGGGGGCCCGCACAAGCGGUGGAGCAUGUGGUUUAAUUCGACGCAACGCGAAGAACCUUACCAAGACUUGACAUCCUGCUGACGGAUUGGGUAAUGCCGAUCGUUCUACUUCGGUAGACAGCAGAGACAGGUGGUGCAUGGUUGUCGUCAGCUCGUGUCGUGAGAUGUUGGGUUAAGUCCCGCAACGAGCGCAACCCUUGUCUUUAGUUGCCAGCAUUAAGUUGGGCACUCUAAAGAGACUGCCGGUGACAAACCGGAGGAAGGUGGGGAUGACGUCAAAUCAUCAUGCCCCUUAUGUCUUGGGCUACACACGUGCUACAAUGGUCGGUACAAAGGGCAGCGAGACCGCGAGGUGGAGCGAAUCCCAAAAAGCCGAUCCCAGUUCGGAUUGCAGGCUGCAACCCGCCUGCAUGAAGUCGGAAUCGCUAGUAAUCGCAGGUCAGCAUACUGCGGUGAAUACGUUCCCGGGCCUUGUACACACCGCCCGUCACACCACGAAAGUUGGUAACACCCGAAGCCGGUGGUCUAACCGCAAGGAGGAAGCUGUCGAAGGUGGGACUAAUGAUUGGGGUGAAGUCGUAACAAGGUA
This 1535-nucleotide ribosomal RNA is filed under the name metagenome. RNAcentral describes it as "bacterial SSU rRNA". It matches the Rfam family "Bacterial small subunit ribosomal RNA". The record is from RNAcentral.